GAAGGGGAAGUUGUUUGCCUUUUCUCAGGUGUUAAAUAGAGUGGGGAGUUUUCGAGUGGCCUGUUCUUUGCUACUAAAUCGCACUUUUCUGUUCUCUUUGAGUGUAUGACCCUCCCUGUGACAAUGGUUUUAUCCUGCAGUCCCUGUGGUAUCUUCAUCAACCUGUGUUUCAUAAAGAAAUCCAUCGAGUACAGGUCACGCAGUAGAUGAAAAAAGAAGGCCAGUUUUUGAUAUCAAAGCUUUUUAACUUCAUGAUGGCAUGCGAGGGGUAACCACAACUGGCUCAUGAUGUCAGCACAAG
This is a long non-coding RNA of Rhea pennata, 301 nucleotides long. RefSeq lists it as uncharacterized. Lineage: Eukaryota; Metazoa; Chordata; Aves; Rheiformes; Rheidae. The transcript has 3 exons. The record is from RefSeq and is a predicted model, not a curated record.